UACAGAGGUCUCAAGCGUUGUUCGGAUUCAUUGGGCGUAAAGGGCGCGUAGGCUGCGGGGCAAGUCGGGUGUGAAAUCUCAGAGCUCAACUCUGAAACUGCACUCGAUACUGCUUUGCUUGAGGACUGGAGAGGAGACUGGAAUUUACGGUGUAGCGGUGAAAUGCGUAGAUAUCGUAAGGAAGACCAGUGGCGAAGGCGGGUCUCUGGACAGUUCCUGACGCUGAGGCACGAAGGCCAGGGGAGCAAACGGG
RNAcentral lists this ribosomal RNA (253 nucleotides) under uncultured bacterium. Its description in RNAcentral is "partial 16S ribosomal RNA". It matches the Rfam family "Bacterial small subunit ribosomal RNA", at positions 524 to 776 of the family's 1533-position model. The record is from RNAcentral.